AACUAGCCACAUCUCUAAGGAGCUCUCAUUCCUGUUAAUGAAGAAUGAUAUUUACAAACCAAAAUCCAGGAACUAGGAUUUCAAAGAGAGGCUGUUUGCUUGACUGAAGGAAGUGCCUUUUGACAGAAGAUGCAAUUUAUGUUAUAUGAAUGAUAUUUCUGAUGGCCAAAAGGACCUGUGAUAGCCUGAGAGUCAAAGACAAGCAGGAACGCAUCUGUAGUCAAACAAGGUCAGGUUUAUUUAGUGGACUGCAUCAAAUAAGAACACCCCCAAAUAGGAACUUGGGGCACCUCAGUAAUGGAGAUUUCACAGGAGUUGUUUAUAUGUUUGUGCUUGUGCUUGAUAUUCCCAAGGCAGAUAUGGAAUGAAUCCUGGCUUGGAUUGGUUCUUGUCAACAAGGAGGAGCAGGUUAGCAAUCAGAUUCUCGGUAUUCAUUGUUCAGGUGGUGCUGUAUGUCCCCUCCAAAAGCAUGUUGAAAUUUAAUUGCCAAUAUAAUUGUAUUGUGAGGUAGGACCUUUAAGAGGGGUUUGGCUCAUUGAAGCUCCACCCUCAUGAAUAGAUUAAUGUCAUUAUCGUGGGAGUGGGAUUGUUAUCAUGGGAAUGGGCUCCUGAUAAAAGAGUGGUUUCUGCCUGAUCUCCUCUUUCCCUCUCUCGCAUGCUCACUUGCCCUUCCACCAUAUUAUGAUGCAGCAGGAGGGCCCUCACCAGAUGCUGAUAACAUUUUUUUAACUUCUCAGCCCUCAAAACUGUGAAGAAUAAUUUCUUUCUUUUAUACAUCACCUAGUCUGUGCUAUUCUGUUAUAGCAGAAGACAAUAAACUAAGACAGACAUCGGGAAAACAACACGGGCUUGGGGACAUCAUUUAUAAGAAAGUGAUAAUCACUCAGAGAAAAAAAUGAUUAGUCAUAUUUUCAGCUAUAGUGUGGCCUUUUGUAUAAGCACUGUAUACAAAAAUGCUAUAUCCCAUUGGAAGCAUUUUUUUUUUUUUUUGAGAAGGAGUCUCACUCUGUAACUCAGGCUAGAGUGCAGUGGCACGAUCUCGGCUCACUGCAACCUCCUCCUCCUGGGGUCAAGCGAUUCUCCUGCCUCAGCCUCCCGAGUAGCUGGGACUACAGGUGUGCACCACCGGGCCCAGGUAAUUUUUUUGUAUUUUUGGUAGAGACAGGAUUUUACCAUGUUGGCCAGGCUGGUCUCGAACUCCUGACCUUUUCACUUUCUCAAAAAGAAUAUUGUGACACAACCAUGAAGUGAAGAGUUCUAAGAUCCAACAUAGUCUCACUGAGUUGAUGCAUGUUUUUACCUGACUUCUGAUCAUUUUAUAAACAAUUAAAAUAGUACAGCGGGACAGGACCUUAGAAAUUGUCAUUAUAUGUAUGGAGAGCCUGGAGCACAUUCCCAGGGUCUGCCAAGCAGUUUGUGCCAAAAGAAGGAUUAGGACCCAGAUCUCUGACAAUUAGACAAGGAUCCUUCACAGGACAUCUAUUUUCAUCCUGGUACACACACACACACCUGUACCAAUUUCAGGGGUAAAGUAUUUUGCAAGUGAUUUACUACUAAUAAGAGUGAAAAUACUGGAGUGAUUCUCUAUUACUGUUUUCUCACUGUAAAAAUUUCAAGCAUACAAUCAUAAUAAAGUUAUCUCUUUACUUCAAUCUCCUUUCUCAUCUCCAUAUGGAUAAAUAUGUGUAUCUGACUAUUAUAUUAAAGUAAUGAUAUAGUAGUACAUAUUGUUUUGCUGUUGGCUUUUCCCAAUUAAUAACACACUUUGGAUACUGUUCUGUGUCAGUGUCAAUAAAAUCUGUAAACAUAGAUAACAUUAUUUUAUUAUUUUACAAGGUGAAGAUGUCCUUAAUGAUAUUCAAUAUACUUUUCUACAUUUACAGACUAUGUACAUUUUGUAGAUAGAACUUUUUUAUUAAAAUUAACGUUAUUAACCAUUUAUUUAAAAUACUCACAAAUAUUUUUAUUCAAAAAUUAUCUUGAGUAGUAAGGUUAUUGAGAUGCACAAUAAAUGAGCUACGUACUGCUUAUGAGAGAUGGUAGGCCAUUCUUUCUGUGGAUCAUAAGAAAUAUUUUAAAUAAAUAAAUAGUUUGAAU
This 2097-nucleotide long non-coding RNA is filed under the name Homo sapiens (human). RNAcentral's name for it is "HSALNT0281386". Lineage: Eukaryota; Metazoa; Chordata; Mammalia; Primates; Hominidae. The record is from RNAcentral.